UGUUCAUGCCCAUCAAACAUAAACCUAGACUCGGCAACAAAAACAAACAUUCCUGUUCAAAAAUGGGCAAAGAGGCCAGGGAUGGUGGCUCAUGUCUGUAAUUCUAGAGCUUUGGGAAGCUGAGGCAGGAGGAUCACUUGAGGCCAGGAGUUCAAGACCAGCCUGGGCAACAUAGUGAGACCCCAACUCAACUAUAUUAAAAAAAAAAAAAAAGAAGGCAAAAGACUCAAAUAGACAUUUCGCCAAAGAAGAUAUACAGAUGGCCAAUUAACACAUGAAAAGAUGUCCAACUUCCUAUCCAUUAGGCUAGCUAUUGUCAAAACAUUUUUUUGUUGUUGUUUUUGGAGGAGGAGUCUCUAUUGUCCAGGCUGGAGUACAGUGGCAUGAUCUCAGCUCACUGCAACCUCUGCCUCCCGGGUUCAAGCCAUUCUCCUGCCUCAGCCUCCCAAGUAGCUGGGAUCACAGGCAUGCACCACCACAUCCGGCUAAUUUUUGUAUUUUUAGUAGAGACGAGGUUUCACCAUGUUGCCCAGGCUGGUCUCGAACUCCUGACCUCAGGUGAUCUACCCACCUCAGCCUCCCAAAGUGUUGGGAUUACAGGUGUAAGCCACCACUCCUGGCCUAAAACAUUUUUUUAAAUGAGAAGAUAACAAGUAUUAGUGAGGAUACAGAGAAAUUAGAACCCCUGUACAUUGCUUAUGGGAAUGUAAAAUGGUGCAGCCACUGUGUAAAAUAGU
Molecule: long non-coding RNA, 737 nt
Filed under: Homo sapiens (human)
Lineage: Eukaryota; Metazoa; Chordata; Mammalia; Primates; Hominidae
Description: non-protein coding lnc-ABCG5-2:1
Source: RNAcentral